RNAcentral lists this ribosomal RNA (507 nucleotides) under uncultured bacterium. RNAcentral's name for it is "bacterial SSU rRNA". It matches the Rfam family "Bacterial small subunit ribosomal RNA", at positions 9 to 514 of the family's 1533-position model. The record is from RNAcentral.
GAGUUUGAUCGUGGCUCAGAUUGAACGCUGGCGGCAGGCCUAACACAUGCAAGUCGAGCGGUAGAGAGAAGCUUGCUUCUCUUGAGAGCGGCGGACGGGUGAGUAAUGCCUAGGAAUCUGCCUGGUAGUGGGGGAUAACGCUCGGAAACGGACGCUAAUACCGCAUACGUCCUACGGGAGAAAGCAGGGGACCUUCGGGCCUUGCGCUAUCAGAUGAGCCUAGGUCGGAUUAGCUAGUUGGUGAGGUAAUGGCUCACCAAGGCGACGAUCCGUAACUGGUCUGAGAGGAUGAUCAGUCACACUGGAACUGAGACACGGUCCAGACUCCUACGGGAGGCAGCAGUGGGGAAUAUUGGACAAUGGGCGAAAGCCUGAUCCAGCCAUGCCGCGUGUGUGAAGAAGGUCUUCGGAUUGUAAAGCACUUUAAGUUGGGAGGAAGGGCAGUAAAUUAAUACUUUGCUGUUUGACGUUACGACAGAAUAAGCACGGCUAACUCUGUGCCAGCAC